GUGGGAAUUACUCAGAUCCCCAUCCCUUUCCCAGCCCCGCCGCGGCAACAUUUAUUGCAAAAGCAGGAAAUUGCUUAUUACUAAACUAGCUGGCAAGGGAGCAGAGCCGAUGCUGUUCCACACUGGAACAGCACUUGCUUAGCUGCUGACUUCCCUGCCUCUCCUUGUUCCGCUCUUUCUUCUUCUUCUUUCCCUUCUUUCUCUCCUCUCUCCCUCGCUCUCUCUUCCUUUUUUCAUUUUGGCUUCUAUUCAAAUGUGGGUCAGGGGUGAGCGGCUCCCAACGUCACAAGCUUGCAAGAUGGCGCUGGGAGGAAGGCUGUGAGAUGAGGAACAGGCUGGUAUAAACCGAGAGGACAGGAGAGGGAGAGGAGGAGAGGGGAAAGGGAAGAAAAGCUACUGCUCCAGAUGCAAUAAGAAGCGUCCCUGCUGGUUCUCCAUUCUGCAUCCGUGCAGCCACGUUCUAUUGAUGGCCUGUUGUGAUUUCAAUGGAACAUCAUGGGAUGUACCUGGCACGUCGGGCAGCACUGGAUGGAGGUGCCUUUAGCCCAAUGUACCUGGCAUGGUGGUAAGGUGAAGGU
Long non-coding RNA from Camarhynchus parvulus, 578 nucleotides. The record is from Ensembl. NCBI's taxonomy places the organism in Eukaryota, Metazoa, Chordata, Aves, Passeriformes, Thraupidae.